Long non-coding RNA from Girardinichthys multiradiatus, 526 nucleotides. RefSeq lists it as uncharacterized. Lineage: Eukaryota; Metazoa; Chordata; Actinopteri; Cyprinodontiformes; Goodeidae. The record is from RefSeq and is a predicted model, not a curated record. The transcript is spliced from 2 exons.
CCUUGGAGGAGGCAUUAGAUUGUUAACUCUUUUGAGUGGACCUACAAACCCUGCUCUGUUCUUGCCGUUGUCCUGACCAGUUGGUUGUCUAACCCCUGCUCUGUUCUCCCGAAGGUUGCUGACAGCUGAACCCUGCCCUGGAUUCCACUUCAAGGUUCUGUCUCAUUUCCUGCUAGCUGUCUGUGGACCUCCACCCUGGAUUAUCCGCUGUGGUUCAGUCUCCUCCCAAACUGGUAAAUACUUCGAUGAACUUACCUCAGCGCGAGGGUCUCCCUUCAUCUCACGGACCAAAGUGCAGAAUUGUUCCUCGCUCUCCAUGCUCUGCCUGUCCACCCUCCAACAACAUUCACCAACCAGAGAAACUCUCCCACACAGCAUACCAACCUGCCAACUUCAGUCUCCGUGGCUUGCUCACUUUUCCCCUGACUCCACGCAUUUACCACCAAUGAGCCGAUUCCAGAAGCCAGACAGCUACGGAGUUCCAACACUGCCAGGAAACAUAAUUUCAAUAAACCUUUUUAUAUCA